ACAACGCCAUUUGCAGGGGAAGCAGGCCAUGUUUUGAUCCUCACACCAUUAUCUGUAUUUGUAAUUGUGCAGUUCUUGAUAAAUAUUCCAGACACAGGUUCUUCAUUCUCAUACUUUCCGAGGCUCCCGAUGCUUAUGCCGUGGCCUGGUCCACAAGUAACGUUGGUUACAUGGAGUUGCUUGGUGCCAUCACCAAUAGAGAUGCAAUCAUCCCCAGUUCCAAUGGUCGUAUCUGUGAUGUUGAUCCCAGUUGAACGUCCGAUAUGAAUUCCAUCGGUAUUGAUGCUUUCUUUAGGCGCUGAGACGGUAAAAUGUUGGAAUGCCACAUUGUUGCAACCCAAAAGAUUUACGUGGAAAUUUUUGCUGUCUUUUGUUGUUAUGUCUCGAAUUAUGGAAUUGGUGACAAAAUUGAAUCUCAGAUUCUGCGAAUAGUGUGAAAAAGUUAAAACAUAUACAAACAAGACGAGUAAUAUUUCUUGCCAAAGUUAUGUUGUCAGGAAAAAUUCUUAUAUUAUCAUACUGUGAAUAAAUAUUGCAGAUUACCAACAUGUUCGAUGGCUUAGAUUUGCUCCCUGACAUAUACACCUUUUUCACAUAUAUGGGAUCAGCUAUCAGGCACCAUAUAUUCAUAGAAGAGUAUGAUCAACCGUAUAGUUUCACAAUCUAGCAAUAGAUUUUAAUUAUAAAAGAACAAGAUUUAAAUUAUCUUACGAUAGCAAUAGAUUUGCAAUUUUUGUUUUUGUUGCAGUCAUUUUGCUUCCAAGCAGUUGCUCCUAGGCCAUCGAAAGUUCCACCACCGGAUAAGGUGAGCCCAUCAAUGCGCUCAAAACCUAUCCAAGUAUCUGCUUUUGGGAGUUGGCUGCCAUCUUCUGGAGCCUGCAAUGUGCCCUGAAGCUGAAACUCAAUAGGGGCUUUGCAUGGUCCUUUGAAAGUUGCCCCUACAAACUUGUAUGUCCCACUUGGAACCACAAUUUUACUUGCCGAUGUCGAUGCACAUGCAUCUGUCCAAGCUUUGCUCAAAGCCUAAUUAAAACAUUGAAUAAAAAUUAAAAAUUGAAAUGAUUCUGUUUAAUUACCCAACAAUUCUAGAACGGAAAUGAUUUUCCACUUAUUAAUUUUCCCCAAGCAUAUUUAUUUCCUACUUCUAAAUUAAACAAAUCAAAAGAAAAAUCAAUAAACAAGAACAACAAUGUGCAAAGACCAAAGAGUGUGUACGGAAGUAAUUUCUGUUCUAACUCGAAAUAUUAGUUUAAAAAUUCAAGAAGAAUUACAUGCAUACAUAUAUAAUGCCUACCUGGGUAAUAUCAGAGUUUGCUUUUCCACCAUAAUUUGCACUUGUUACAUCAUAGACACCAGAUUGGGCAUUAGAUGUGGAUACUAACAACAAGGACACAAACAUUGGCAAGAUAUUUUUCAGUUUCAAAUCCAUCUUGAGUUUUCAAUUCGGAAUUAGUUUCUUACGUUUGGAAGUUCGAUGAAAACUUUAUUUUGGUUUCAUCAGAACUUUAUUCUCACAUUGGAAAGCUUAACGCCCUCAAAUUACUCAACCAAUUAUUAGCUAUUUUUAUGGAAGAUGCCUCAACCCCAAAAACCGUGCACGAAAAAAACUAGCCGCCGUUGAUUUAUUCAAAAGAAAAGCUUAAUUAAGAGCUUGAAAUUCCUCACAAAAUUUCUUCCAAGACAGGGAAAUAACCCCGAAUUAAGAUGCCUUAAUUAAGAUGUUUAAUUGCAAUGUAGUUCAAGAAUUGUAUCCUAUAAUUAGUAAUUAAUUAAGCUGCUUAUAGUUUUAGAACAUCAAUUACCACCACUACGUAUGGCCCUCGGCUAGUUCAGUGUUCAUUACCACUUCUUUAACAUAUUGUUCUCCAUGCUGCCCCUCCAAGUCAGUACUCAAAUUGUUUCUUCCAAGCAAACCCUAGUUGCUGCAGCCACCAGCACCCCGAUCAACGCCAACUCCACCACCGCGACACAACUACAACUUGUUUAAACUUGACGGCAUUACUUGUGGGAAUCUUCAACAAUUCUUCACAUCAUAGCAUAAUAUUCCAGCUCAACUCCAUCUCGGUCUCUCCCGUUAUAGUCUACUCCUCUUCACUGACCGCAAAUUGGUACAUCACUUUACUCAAUUACAAAGACAUGAGCAUCUACUAUGACUUACUCAUGCAAGUCUCGGUUUUCUAUCACAAGGAGUUUCUCUCCAUGACUAAUGUCGUCGCUAACGGUUGUACCAAGAUCCAAUUCGUCUGAAGAAUGAGACGCAAGUGCAUGCCAGUGCUUUUGCCUCGUCGGUGUUUGUCAAGGAUCUAGUUGUGGCUGCUAUGUUUGAGGAUUUCAGGGAUGGAAACGUGGGGUUCGACGUGGCAGUGUAGGGUGCUUAUAGGGUGUGGAAAGAGGAUCGCAUUCCGCAAGUAGGCUGUUGAGUAGGGGUGGGUUUAAAAAACCAAAAACUAAAAAAAAAUCGAACUGAACACCGAACCAAAGCCGGAAAAAAAAAAAUCAAACCAAGUGAACCGAAUCGAAAUAGGUUGGUUUGGUUUCGGUUUUGAUGGUCCAGAAACCGAACAGGAUCGAACCGAACCGAUUUAUAUUUAAUUAUUUAAUUGGGUUAAUCUCAGUUUACUAUCAUGAAGCUUCUUGGUUUUCAACAUUUAAUACAUGAAGUUUUUUUCAUCCUAGAGUGGUAUAUAAAGCCAUAAUUUUGGGACACUUUCAUAUAUCCGUUAAGUUUUCUGUUAAAUCAGUGGUUAACUGGUGACAUGGCACUCAUAUGGACAGUGACUAGGCACCACGUGUCAUCGGGGCCCACAUAAAUAUUAAAAAAAUUAAAAAAAUUAAAAAAAAAUGUUUUUGGGCCUUCCAACUUAACCCUCGACCCCCUCCCUCCCUUCUCUCCACUAAGCCUUCCAGCUCCCACCUCCUCCUAACCGCUGGCGAUCGCCAAGGCUGCAUCAUCCUCCUCGACCUCCACCUGUCUCCCAUCCUCUGGUUCGAUACCGACUCCUCCCCCUCCAAACUCGCCAUACAGGACCUCGCAUGGGUCCAGGCCCGACCUGACUCCUUCUACAUCUCCUCCAUCUUCGUCUACAACAACUCCACUAGCAAGGAGCUUGCUUUUCCCCUCCACGGUUCGUAUUGCAACUCUCAUUCAUCUUCUCACUAUAGUUUUUCCCCUCCAUGGUGAUUCACUGAAACGAAUCCAAACAACUCACUCACACUCAGUCACUCAUCUCUUUCCCCCUAUCUCUCCAUUUCUCUCUUUAAGGUUUUAGUUUGGGUUCAAUUGGAGUGGUCCGAAGAUCAAAAAAGGCGGCAGUGGCGGUGGGGAAGCAGAGGCAUCGGAGGAGGUGAUGGUGACCGAUUAGCUAAUGGUAUACAGAGGGGCGAAGAAAGAGAGAAGGUGUACGGCAAAAGAGCACAUCAGCAAAAUGCCUUUGUGCGCUGCUGGAAAAUGUAGCUCCAUUUACCGUGGAGACACUCGGUAAUUAAGCUCCUCUUUCUCUUUCUGUUUGGUUGCUGAGAAAAAAAAAAGAAAGGAAUUUUGAUUAGAUUUUGUUGAUGCACAAAAUCAGUGGGAACUUUGAUACAACAAAAAAUGUUAAGUUUGUGACCUUUGCUAAACUACUCUGGUCACUAGUGUGGAUAAGUAUGUAAAUGGAUAAAGACAGGGAAGCAAACACAAGAUGUACGUGGUUCACCCAGAUUGGUUACGUCCACAGAGUAGAGGAGUUCUCAUUAAUUGUGAAGGGUUUACACAAGUACAUAGGUUCAAGCUCUCCUUUAGUGAGUACUAGUGAAUGAUUUAGUACAAAUGACAUAAGGAAAUAUUGUGACAGAAUGAUCUCUAUUUAUAGAAGAGAGUUUCUAGUUUCAUUCUGACAUUGACACGUGUCGUGUUGUGAUUGGCCUCUGAUGUCGACACGUGUCACGUUAUGAUUGGCCUCUGAUGUUGACAUGCGUCGCGUUGUGAUUGGCCUCCUGAUUGGAGGGAGACUCUUGUGGGUCCUUGGCGGUAUAAUGUUGACCGGUGCUUAGUAGUUUCGAGGUUGGUCAAGUAUGGUACAAACAAAUUUGAUUAGGAAUUUGGGUAUGGAAAUGUAGGCAUAGGUGGACAAGUCAUUAUGAGGCUCAUCUCUAGGAUAAAAGUACUUGGAUUCAAAACCAGAAUAAGAAAGGAAUCCGAUGUCGUCAUCAAGAAGCUUCAGAUUCAAGCCAAAUCUGAUGUCGGCUGGUGAAGCUGUUGUAGAGAGAGAGGGAAGAGAAUCCGGAGAUGAAGGCAAAGAGGUAGAAGUCGGGUCGGGCCUGGACCCAUGCGAGGUCCUGGAUGGCGAGUUUGAAAGAGGAUGAGUCAAUAUCGAACCAGAGGAUGGGAGACUUGAGGCGGAGGUCGAGGAGGGUGAUGCAGCCCUGGUGAUCGCCAGCGGCGUGGAGGAAGUGGGAGCUGGAAGGCUCAGUGGAGAGAAAUGAAGAAGGGAGUCGGGGUUGAGCUGGAAGGCCCAAAAACAUUUUUAAUUUUUAAUUUUUUAAUAUUUAUAUGGGCCCUGAUGACACGUGGCACCUAGUCACUGUCCACGUGAGUGCCAUGUCACUAGUUAAUGGCUGAUUUAACAGCAAACUUAAUGGAUAUAUGAAAGUGUCCCAAAAUUGUGACUUUACGUACCACUCUAGGAUGAAAAAAAAUUCAUGUAUUAAAUGUUGAAAACCAAGAAUUUCAAGGUAGUAAACUGAGAUUAACCCUAUUUAAUAUAUAUUAAUUAUAUAAAUUAUAUACAAAUACUCAAAAUCUAGAGGCAAAAGUUUUUGAACCCCUUAUACCUCCUGGUUGAGAGUUUUUUGCUUCAGCCAACUUGAUAACAAGCUUUGUGUAGUUAUAAUCAUAUUAGUAAAAUAUUUAUACUGAUUCUAGAGCUUUAAUUCUUUAUAAGAUUUCUAAACACAAAACCCUAGCCGUCCCAUUUACUCCCAUUUCAUCUCCUUGUUCUGACUUAUCAGCCUCUCUCUUCGACCUUUGAAUUCUUGCAUCUCCAUAAUUUCUUUGUUGAACGCUCGAAUGUUUGCAACUACAAGCGAUUUAUACAAGGAUUUGCAGCAAUCCAUUCAUCAUUUUCAGGUGGGUCACCGCCGCGAUGCCAAAUUCAAGAAGUUCAAGUUUGAAAACGGUGCUCUCGCUGUAUCAAUUUCAUCUAUUUUGUUUCGAAAACGGUGCUCUCGUUGUAUCAAUUUCAUCUAUUUUGUUCCCAAUCUUGUAAAUUUGUUUAAUUUGUGAUUGAAUGAUUGGGUUCAUAAUCAUUACCCCUGCAAUGCUGAUAAGCAAUGCACAAACGUGGAGUUUUCUUAUAUGUAACCUGACCAGAACUCAUAACCCUUUUGAUGCAAAUUUUGAAAUGUGCAUUUUUUGUGCAAAUUGGUUCUGAUUGGGUUAUGAUGCAUCUGUGCAAUGUGCAUUUUUGUGCAAAUUGGUUCUGAUUAGGUUAUGCUGCACCUGUUUUGCUUUUCUUGAUUGUGCAUGCCUCCCUUUCUGAAUGGUUCUUGUUCCUCCACUCUCCAUCAUAAUUAAAAGAAAUUGUUGCAGAAAAGAGGAAGAAAACAAAUGGCAGAUCUUGAAGAUGCAGGGUCCAUUAAAAUCUAAAAUUUUAUGUACCCAAAAUUGCAAUGAUGAAGAUUAGAGCAAUGCAAGAGUGUUCAGAGCAAAGAAGAAUCUAAAAAACCCGAACCGAUUGGAAUGUGAUUGUUCUACACUAAUUGGAAAUUUUUAGGAAUUUUUUUCACCAUUGAAGAAAAAAAAAAAUCGAACCGAACUGAAAUCGAAUCGAAAAAAAAAAGAACUGAAAUUUCAAUUCGAUUUCAGUUUUAGCAAAAAAACAGAACCCAACCCUACUGUUGAGGGUUGAUUGUGAUUGUCAGGGUUGAGAUGUCAAACAAUGGAACUGAUGAAGCCUUGUCUGGUGGAUCAAGUAAAUUUGAUGUUGAGAUCAUUUUUAUGUACUGCUUCAAACUAUGCCCGUGCUACCUUUAUAUAUGUAUUAUUCUUUUGACUUCCAUUUAACUCAAUUGACUAAAAGCAACUACCCUAUAUACUCAAGAUCUCAAGUUCUAUUCCCACUUCUCCCAAUAUUUGCUUGCAUAAAAAACUUUUGUAAAAGUUUAGGGUUCUAGUAAAUAAAAUUUGACUAGCUACUUCAGUGCAUCAGUUUGUUUGGACCCAAAUUUACACCAUCGGCCCGUGUAAUCAAGGUCAUUGAGUAAGCAUAGUUCUCAACCGUCAGAUGAAAAAGUGAAGAUAUUUUUAUUAAAGGAUAAUAUUAUGGUUUUUGUCAUAGUAAUUAUUUUUUAUUUUGGAUUAUCUUAGCAUUAUAUCUUCGAACAAGUACAGUUCGAGUGAACUUGGGAUUACUGCUAUCAGACUGGAGAAACUUGGUAGAUGAGGUUUGAAAAGUCAUGGUGCAUGCACAGAUGGAUUAUGAAGAAGUCUAGAUAGGCUUGGCUUUAGUGGUGAUGUGAUAAGUCUAAGAUUUAAUAGUCUUAGAUAAUGAUGACAAGCCUAGGUAGGCUAGGCUAUGAUGAUAAGACUUUUAUUUGAAUAGGCUUUUGUGAGGUUUGGAAAAUCGUGAACAUCUAUCUGAAGGAUAUGGUAGUUCUCUGAUGCGGAUUAAUUUCAGUUCCGUGGAAAAGAAUUGCAGUUGGACUCUACAAGCAUCAUCAGGCUGUGCCAGGUAGAUAUCAAACGCUAUAAAUACAUGAAGGUUGUGCAGCAUUGAGGACAACUCCAACUCAACACACAAACUGCCAUGCGCAAACCCUCGCUCUACGCGAAACCUCUCAACAACCUUGAGAUUUUUAUUUUCCUUUUUCACCAACACAUCUUCAGUUUGGAUAAACAGCACUGUGAAGGCAACUGGCGAACAUCUUCAGUUUAAAUAAACAGCACUGUUGCCGUAGAAUCAGCUGACCGUAAAGCACCUUUAGUUUGGAUAACCAGCAUUGCGACAGGGUCGACUGGUUAUCUAUCCAAGUCUCGAUCGAGAAGGAUUUUCGAAUCCUUAUUGGCAGAGGUCAUCUCAUUAGCCUUUUCGACGAAGUGACGUGUUACAAGUUAUUACAUUCGGCACAUUGGAAGCUGAAUUUGAUAUUGAACUUCGCAGAACUAGCAGCCUUAUCUUCAGGCUCUAGAAUCCGAAGGCCGAGAGUGUUCCUUCCUCGGCCGCAGUCGCGAGAUUCAUAAGUCAGCAGCGUACCCAACGCAACAUCAACAAAUUUUACUCCUCGGCCGACGAGUUGGCACGCCCGCACAUAACCGAAUGACGUAGUUAGCUUAUUAAUUACUCGGCAUGCGCGCCACGUAGGCUUGGUAGUUUUUAGGGUCAACACAGUUAUAAGGAAAUAACUGUCGUUAGAAGGUCUAAACAGACUAAACAGAGAAUGUCAUAUUCCAAAAACUUGGAUGUCCUUGUAAUUUUUGUUUUCGUUAAAAAAAUGAAAAAAGUUCGAUAAUUACCCAAUAACCCUGUCACAAAUUACACGAAAGUAAAAUUCAUUUUUAUUUAUUUAAAAAUAAAUAAAAAUUAACACAUAAUACUAUGUAUUCUUCUUUUAGCUUGUAAAUGAAAUAUUUUAGACUAUUCACUACAAGUUAGAGAACAAUGGAGUAAUGAACACAAUUCUUGUCAUUUUUUUAUAAAGUGAGAUUUGAACAAAAAUCUCAACCGUCAACCCACAGUCAUCUCAUGCCAUUUGAGAAAAGUCUCAUGGGUAGCUUAUUUACGACGUACAACAAAAAUUAAAAUAAAUAAAUAAACACUUGUUUAUAAGGAAUAAUUGGUUUCUUUUCAAGAAGAGGUCGCGCAAGCAAGAGCCCGUGCCACGUUGUUAAUGGUGGGCUUGACAUGCUUACAUUGAGAGGUAAUAGGGCCUUUGUUUCCACUGUAUGUGAGAUCAAUGUCACUUAGUUGCACAUUCUCACAUGGCAGCCCUCCACUGCAUACAAUCUUAAUACCGACUGGGGUUGAAGAUGAGCCCUUUAUGUUUUUGAAGCUGACAUUGCUGAUCUUAACUUUGGAUGGAACCUGCAUGCAAUAAUAGUAUUAUUAGAAAACACUUUUUCUCAUAAAUAUAUUUAAUAAAUAGAUCAAAAAAUUCAAGUGGAUUUUCGAAAAACCGGAGUGCUUCCUGAAGACAUGUACUAUUCCAGAAUGAACUCAGGUAGGUAGUCAUUCAAAGUAGUGGAGGUUGGUGUCAAUAGAUCAGAUGGCCAUCGGUUGUAUUCUAUUAUUCAAGAUUAAGUAUUUGACUAAAUGAUAAAGAAAUUAUGAUGUUAAUUUUUGUGCAAAAUAGUAUACCUUAAGUGUGCACUGAUUCCAUGGACAAUACUCUUGGUCUAUGAUGACAGGGUUUCCAACAUUGUCCAUAAUAAUAUCCUCAAAGUGAACAUCUGAGACUACACCAUUUGAUGGAGAAGCAGGCCAUGUUUUGAUUCUCACACCAUUAUCUGUAUUUUUAAUUGUGCAGUUCUUGAUAAAGAUUCCGGACACAGGUUCUUCAUUCUGAUAUCUUCCGAGACUCCCGAUGCUUAUGCCAUGGCCGGGUCCGCAAGUAACUUUGGUUACAUGGAGUUGCUUGGUGCCAUCACCUAUAGAGAUGCAAUCAUCCCCUGUUCCAAUGGUUGAAUCUGUGAUGUUGAUCCCAGUUGAACGUCCGAUAUGAAUUCCAUCUGUGUUCAUGCUCUCUUUAG
RNAcentral lists this long non-coding RNA (8725 nucleotides) under Malus domestica (apple). RNAcentral describes it as "long non-coding RNA (MDOM_LNC008013)". Lineage: Eukaryota; Viridiplantae; Streptophyta; Magnoliopsida; Rosales; Rosaceae. The record is from RNAcentral.